ACCCAGCGGCGGCGGCGGACAACCGGCAGCGGCGGCGCUCUCUUCCUCCCCCCGGUGACCCAGCGCCGGCGGCAAUACUUUUGGGUGAGUUCUACUUUUAGGGUUAGCCCCUUUUCUUUUGCUUUCUUUUUCCUCUUUUCUUUUUCUUUCUCUUUCACUCCCAACGGAUCUACAAGCCUAGAAGGCUCCGAUACCAUUGUUGUAUCCUAGAAUUCGUCUAGGUGUAGAUCUAGCCGAGGUUUACAACUUUCUAUGAUACAACUUGGUUCGGGUAUGGGGCGAGAGAGAGAGAGAGAGAAAGACAAGGG
This 308-nucleotide long non-coding RNA is filed under the name Brachypodium distachyon (stiff brome). RNAcentral's name for it is "long non-coding RNA (BDIS_LNC000957)". Lineage: Eukaryota; Viridiplantae; Streptophyta; Magnoliopsida; Poales; Poaceae. The record is from RNAcentral.